AGCUUUGUGCAGUGGCAAUAUCAUAGCCAAUGAGGUUUAUCUGACGUGCAAUUAUUGCUAACUGAAAAGUUGGGGUUGCUUCCCUUUGAUAAUGAUAAAAAAUUUAAAGAAUUACAGAGGGUG
This 123-nucleotide small nuclear RNA is filed under the name Neogale vison (American mink). RNAcentral's name for it is "Neovison vison (American mink) U4 spliceosomal RNA (ENSNVIG00000011106.1)". It matches the Rfam family "U4 spliceosomal RNA". Rfam says of the family: U4 small nuclear RNA (U4 snRNA) is a component of the major U2-dependent spliceosome. Lineage: Eukaryota; Metazoa; Chordata; Mammalia; Carnivora; Mustelidae. The record is from RNAcentral.